RNAcentral lists this ribosomal RNA (89 nucleotides) under uncultured Paraglomus. Its description in RNAcentral is "partial 18S ribosomal RNA". The record is from RNAcentral. Lineage: Eukaryota; Fungi; Glomeromycota; Glomeromycetes; Paraglomerales; Paraglomeraceae.
UGACGCUGCACAUACCCUUGGCGAGUAUCAACUGUCAUUAGAGAAGUAAAGUCGUACAAGGUUCCGUAGUGACCUGCGGAAGAUCAUUA